This is a long non-coding RNA of Harmonia axyridis, 2230 nucleotides long. RefSeq lists it as uncharacterized. The transcript is spliced from 2 exons. NCBI's taxonomy places the organism in Eukaryota, Metazoa, Arthropoda, Insecta, Coleoptera, Coccinellidae. The record is from RefSeq and is a predicted model, not a curated record.
AAAUUUCUUCGAACUCCAAAGGAUACGAUCGAUAACGAGUCUCAAGGUGUAUACGAGAUACCAUGUUCCGCAUGUCCUAGAACAUACAUAGGACAAACCAACAGACGUAUAAUAACAGAGUAUAUGAGCACCAACUCGCAAUACGCCAGGGAGAUCCAACAUCUGCCCUAUUCAAACACUACUCUGAAACAGGACAUAACGUUGAUUUUGAGGGAUGUAAGACCAUCUCUGCAGAGAGAACUCUCACAUGUAGGAUAAUCCGUGAAGCACUCGAGAUCGAAAAACGACCCAAUUGCCUCAACAAACGGGAUGAUGGUCAAAGAUUGCCCAACACUUGGAAACCUUUUAUUUCCCGUCUCAUGGCAACACAUCGAUCGAUAACUCAGCCCCCAUCAACAACCCGAUCGACAGUUCAGCCUCAUACCACCCGUACCAGGCUCUCAGUUGCCACUCGUUCGAUAACAACCCGAUGGAUGACUCGAAGUCACGUGACAACAACACCACCGGUUCCUGCACAAUCGAUAACAACUCGAUCGACAACAAACCGAUCGACAACAACUCGAUCAAUAACAACUCGAUCGAUAACAACUCGAUCAAUGACUGGAGGCUGCCUAACAACUACGCAACCGGCUCCUGCGCAACCUCCAUCACGUGGGUCACCCCCUUCUACUAUAAAUACUGGACCUCUCGUGGUUAACAUUCAGUUGCCUCCACAGAUUACGGAUAACAUAGAUAGAACACUCGCCUUCCCCCACCCGAAAUUAAGUUUUAGUUCUUGGCCCACGCGCUUGGAACCGCUGCAAGUCAUUUGUUUACGUUUGGUUUGCUCUUGCAAUAUUAUUUUAACCUAGAAGCUGAAAAUGGACGUUUGUCAUUGAAGUUGUUCAAGUAAGUACAAUUUAGUACGCCGUAGAAAUUCAUUUGAAGAAAAAAAUAUAUACUUCCAAAUUUCGAGAAUGCCUAAAAUAAAGAAAUGUUGUGUACAAGGAUGUACCGAUAAGACAAGUACAAGACAUCGUUUCCCUAUGAGUGAUUUGGAUUUAUUCGAUAACUGGCUCCAAAUUAUCCAACCAAUAAAUUGGCAACAAUUGAGUAGGCAUCGAAUUUAUGAAGGUUAUUUUGUGUGCCAUUCACAUUUUGAUAAAAAAUAUCAUUUUCCAGGAAGCCGUCGUGGUCUCACUUGUAAUGCCAUACCUACAAUCGGUAUUCCAGGUAAUUUUAUCGAAUUUUUCAAUUUUAUUCAUAUUUAAAUCCCUUAAAUUUUUUUUUUCAUUUGUACUGCCCAAUGUCAAAAUGGAGCUGUAACUUGUAGUUCAUUCUGAUUUAAAUGAUGCUUAGGAUUAGACAUUAGAUUCAUUUUAGUAAAAGUCGUAGGAAGGAAAGUAUCACUUUCCAGGAAACCAUCAUUGUCUUAAAUGUAAUGGCAUACGUACAACAGUAUUCCAGGUAAUUUUAUCGAAUUACUCAAUUUUAGUCAUAUUUAAACCCCUUAAAUUUUUGUUCCAUGUGUACUGUCCAAUGGAGCUGUAGUAUAUUCUGGUUUAAACGAUACUAACAAUUAGGCAUGGGGUGAGUUGCAAAAAUGAAGAACUACUUGUAUGAUGAUUUAUUCUUCAAAUUUCUACUUGACUUAUUAAUCAAGAUCCAUCUUUAUUUUAAAAUGAUACUGAAACUAUUUUUUUUUUCUUUUCAGAUAUUAAAUACAAAUGCAGUUUACCUUCUGAAGCAGCAGACACUGCCGAAUUAAUUUUAUUUCUGGAUAAAUUAUUCGAUUCUCUCAAUGUAUCGAAGAUUCGAAAUACACAGGGUAAGUUUUUGAAGGAACCAAUAACCACAAAAUCGGAACAUGAAAUAUUUUGGAAAAAAUCAAUAAAAAUUUUUGAAAACAUGUAUUUCUAUGAUGAAAAAAAACAAAAAAAUGUGGUGGUACCUACCAUAAAAAAUUUUAUUUGGACUUUAAAAGCUUUCGUUUACCUUAAGAGGAGGUUGUUAACUGAAAAAAAAUUCAAGUCUAUCUUGACUGGUGCUUUCAAUCAAGAUUGCCUUGAAAAUUUUUUCAGUUAUAUCCGAGGGCAUGGUGUAAGGAACACUAAUCCAAAUAUUGGCCAGUUUAUGUCCUCUUUCAAAUGCCUUACUUUGAAUAACUUCAUGUCCUCCCAUUCUGUAGGUUCCAACUGUGAAGAGGAUUUAACAUCACAUUGUUUGGAUAAUCUAAAAUCAUUUGUUUUAU